RNAcentral lists this ribosomal RNA (644 nucleotides) under uncultured bacterium. RNAcentral's name for it is "bacterial SSU rRNA". It matches the Rfam family "Bacterial small subunit ribosomal RNA", at positions 57 to 692 of the family's 1533-position model. The record is from RNAcentral.
GCAAGUCGAACGGUAACGACGGGAGCUUGCUCCCGGGCGACGAGUGGCGGACGGGUGAGUAACACUUAGGAAUCUGCCCAGUAGUGGGGGACAACCAGGAGAAAUCCUGGCUAAUACCGCAUACGCACUACGGUGGAAAGUGGGGGACCUUCGGGCCUCACGCUAUUGGAUGAGCCUAAGUCGGAUUAGCUUGUUGGUGAGGUAAAGGCUCACCAAGGCGACGAUCCGUAGCUGGUCUGAGAGGACGAUCAGCCACACUGGGACUGAGACACGGCCCAGACUCCUACGGGAGGCAGCAGUGGGGAAUAUUGGACAAUGGGCGCAAGCCUGAUCCAGCAAUGCCGCGUGUGUGAAGAAGGCCUGCGGGUUGUAAAGCACUUUCAGUAGAGAAGAAAAGCCUAGGGUUAAUACCCCUGAGUCUUGACGUAACCUACAGAAGAAGCACCGGCUAACUCCGUGCCAGCAGCCGCGGUAAUACGGAGGGUGCGAGCGUUAAUCGGAAUUACUGGGCGUAAAGCGCGCGUAGGCGGUUUUGUAAGUCGGAUGUGAAAGCCCCGGGCUUAACCUGGGAAUUGCAUUCGAUACUGCAUAACUAGAGUACGGUAGAGGGAAGUGGAAUUUCCGGUGUAGCGGUGAAAUGCGUA